GUUUGGUCUGCGGGGCGAAACAGAGCAGCUGAACCAGUGCAGACGGCAGCAGGGUGCACACAGGAAGGUCCAGCAAUGAAAUUCAAACUGAGAACAUUGUACAUUAAAUCAAGUCCUGCUUUCAAUCUGACCAUUCGCUGGUUUUUGUUUUGACCACACUCAUGUCUUUGGACUGUGGGAGGAAGCCGGAGGUGAGAACCCACACAGGCACAGGGAGAACAUGCAGACAUCACACAGAAAGACCCCAGGAAUGAACUCCACACUUCUCCACUGACAAGAUACCUAAACUUGUUGCAUCAACUGCUGACUACAAGUGUGAUCAGACCAGAGAGAGUAAUUACCAUAGCACACGUUUUCAAUGCAACGAUGCAGAAGUGCUUCCUUGUCUCUGCGUUCCUGAACCAACUCAUCCAGCAGAUCAUCACAGCUUCCCAUCCUACAGCAGCCUCCUCAUCUCUCCUAUGAAGGCUUCGCAAGUAUAAUUUCCUUUAUGCUUAAUGGGUGAAUUUAGAAAUUAUAAUUGGCUUCUAAUUCCAAAGUGACUCUAAAUUGAUCACCAUGUUACCAAGUGCUUCCAGUGACAAUCGCAGUUAACUAGUUUUUCCAAUGGAAACUAGCUUUUCUGCUAAAUCGGGUGCAUUUACAUUUGUUAAAAUGUUAAUUAAUGUACCUUGUCCCUUUCUUAAAAAUAAAGAAAAAAAUUAUCUGUUAACCUACAUUAACUUAUUCACUGU
Long non-coding RNA from Amphiprion ocellaris (clown anemonefish), 734 nucleotides. RefSeq lists it as uncharacterized. NCBI's taxonomy places the organism in Eukaryota, Metazoa, Chordata, Actinopteri, Pomacentridae. The transcript is spliced from 4 exons. The record is from RefSeq and is a predicted model, not a curated record.